CACGUAUUUAGCCGUCGCUUCUUCUGGUGGUACCGUCACUUUCUUCUUCCCACCUGAAAGCACUUUACAAUCCGAAGACCUUCAUCGUGCACACAGAGUUGCUGGAUCAGACUUUUGGUCCAUUGUCCAAUAUUCCCCACUGCUGCCUCCCGUAGGAGUAAGGGCCGUGUCUCAGUCCCCUUGUGGCCGUUCACCCUCUCAGGCCGGCUAUCCAUCGUCGCCUUGGUAGGCCAUUACCCUACCAACUAGCUAAUGGAACGCAAAGUUCUCCUCCAGCGCAUAUAGCUUUCAUUAAGUCCUCGAUGCCGAGGUCUCAUAAUAUCCGGUAUUAGCUAACCUUUCGAUUAGUUGUCCCAGUCUGAAGGCAAAUUCUUUACGCGUUACUCACCCGUCCGCCACCGUACUAUCUUCCGAAGAAGAAUUCCAGUCGACUUGCAUGUGUUAAGCAUUCUGUCAGCGUUCAUCCUGACGCCAGGAUCAAACUCU
Molecule: ribosomal RNA, 486 nt
Filed under: uncultured Psychrilyobacter sp.
Lineage: Bacteria; Fusobacteriati; Fusobacteriota; Fusobacteriia; Fusobacteriales; Fusobacteriaceae
Description: partial 16S ribosomal RNA
Source: RNAcentral